RNAcentral lists this unclassified non-coding RNA (22 nucleotides) under Mus musculus (house mouse). Its description in RNAcentral is "oocyte_clustered_small_RNA3593". The record is from RNAcentral. Lineage: Eukaryota; Metazoa; Chordata; Mammalia; Rodentia; Muridae.
AGGACGUGUCACUUCCUGAUUG